Long non-coding RNA from Asterias rubens (European starfish), 578 nucleotides. RefSeq lists it as uncharacterized. The record is from RefSeq and is a predicted model, not a curated record. Lineage: Eukaryota; Metazoa; Echinodermata; Asteroidea; Forcipulatida; Asteriidae. The transcript is spliced from 4 exons.
GUUGUGACAUCUUCUCCUGAGGCAACCACCACAGAGAUAACCACUGUGGAGAUAACUUCAGGGCCAGCCACAACAUCAGUUACGACAGCUGGACCAACAACUACACAAGCAUCAACAACUACGACAAAUGUCACUACAGUAUCGGUUCCAUCAACUACAGCUGCAGCUACAACCUCGGCUGUGCCCACAACAACUGAAGUGGUCACAACAACUAGUGCUGUUUUGACUACCACUCCUACAGGAACAACCUCUGAGGAGACAACUGUUGUGACUACCAGCCCAGUGUCAACUACCACUGGACAAGCAACAAGUACUGAAGUUUCAACCAGUAGUGUAACAACUACCUCAGCUGGUACAACUACUGCAGGUCCAACUUCAACUGAACAAACCAGUACCACGGUUGUGACAUCUUCUCCUGAGGCAACCACCACAGAGAUAACCACUGUGGAGAUAACUUCAGGGCCAGCCACAACAUCAGUUACGACAGCUGGACCAACAACUACACAAGCAUCGACAACUACGACAAAUGUCACUACAGUAUCGGUUCCAUCAACUACAGCUGCAGCUACAACCUCGGC